RNAcentral lists this ribosomal RNA (466 nucleotides) under Amietia vertebralis (large-mouthed frog). RNAcentral's name for it is "partial 16S ribosomal RNA". It matches the Rfam family "Bacterial large subunit ribosomal RNA", at positions 1935 to 2562 of the family's 2925-position model. Lineage: Eukaryota; Metazoa; Chordata; Amphibia; Anura; Pyxicephalidae. The record is from RNAcentral.
GGUGCCCUAACCGUGCGAAGGUAGCAUAAUCACGUUGUUCUUUAAAUGGGGACUAGUAUCGACGGCAUCACGAGGGUUACACUGUCUCCGUUUCAUCCAAUCAGCUGAAACUGAUCUCCCCGAUGAAGAAGCGGGGAUAAGAUUAUUAGACGAGAAGACCCCAUGGAGCUUUAAGCUCAACAACAGCUCCUAUGAAAAUAAUUCACCAUAGUACACGAACCCUGUUUGUUAGCUUUAGGUUGGGGUGACCGCGGAGUAUAAUACAACCUCCACGGCGAACGGGUUUAAGACCCUAAUCCAAGAGCCACUGCUCUAAGAAUCAUCAAAUUGACGUACAAUGAUCCGAUUUUCGAUCAACGAACCAAGUUACCCUGGGGAUAACAGCGCAAUCCAUUUCUAGAGCCCCUAUCGACAAAUGGGUUUACGACCUCGAUGUUGGAUCAGGGUAUCCUAGUGGUGCAUCCGC